Molecule: ribosomal RNA, 397 nt
Filed under: uncultured bacterium
Lineage: Bacteria
Description: partial 16S ribosomal RNA
Rfam family: Bacterial small subunit ribosomal RNA
Source: RNAcentral
AUACGUAGGUGACAAGCGUUAUCCGGAUUUACUGGGCGUAAAGGGCGUGUAGGCGGUCUUGCAAGUCAGAAGUGAAAUUCCUGAGCUCAACUCGGGCGCUGCUUCUGAAACUGCAGGACUUGAGUGCUGGAGAGGAUAGUGGAAUUCCUAGUGUAGCGGUAAAAUGCGCAGAUAUUAGGAGGAACACCGGUGGCGAAGGCGGCUAUCUGGACAGUAACUGACGCUGAGGCGCGAAAGCACGGGGAGCAAACAGGAUUAGAUACCCUGGUAGUCCGUGCCGUAAACGAUGAAUACUAGGUGUAGGGGGUAUCGACUCCCUCUGUGCCGCAGUUAACACAUUAAGUAUUCCACCUGGGGAGUACGGCCGCAAGGUUGAAACUCAAAUGAAUUGGCGGGG